RNAcentral lists this ribosomal RNA (503 nucleotides) under uncultured Glomus. RNAcentral describes it as "SSU rRNA". It matches the Rfam family "Eukaryotic small subunit ribosomal RNA", at positions 569 to 1074 of the family's 1831-position model. Lineage: Eukaryota; Fungi; Glomeromycota; Glomeromycetes; Glomerales; Glomeraceae. The record is from RNAcentral.
AGCAGCCGCGGUAAUUCCAGCUCCAAUAGCGUAUAUUAAAGUUGCUGCAGUUAAAAAAGCUCGUAGUUGAAUUUCGGGACCAUCAUGUCGGUCGUGCCUCGGUACGUACUGGCAUUGUUGGUUUCUCCCUUCUGACGAACCAUGAUGUCAUUAAUUUGGUGUCAUGGGGAAUCAGGACUGUUACUUUGAAAAAAUUAGAGUGUUUAAAGCAGGCUCACGCUUGAAUACAUUAGCAUGGAAUAAUGAAAUAGGACGUUUGAUUCUAUUUUGUUGGUUUCUAGGAUCGACGUAAUGAUUAAUAGGGAUAGUUGGGGGCAUUAGUAUUCAAUUGUCAGAGGUGAAAUUCUUGGAUUUAUUGAAGACUAACUACUGCGAAAGCAUUUGCCAAGGAUGUUUUCAUUAAUCAAGAACGAAAGUUAGGGGAUCGAAGACGAUCAGAUACCGUCGUAGUCUUAACCAUAAACUAUGCCGACUAGGGAUCGGAUGAUGUUAAUUUUUAAUGA